This 1810-nucleotide long non-coding RNA is filed under the name Capsicum annuum. RNAcentral describes it as "long non-coding RNA (CANN_LNC007630)". The record is from RNAcentral. Lineage: Eukaryota; Viridiplantae; Streptophyta; Magnoliopsida; Solanales; Solanaceae.
UUUUCUUUUUCAUCCAUCCAUCAACUUCAAUUUUUUCAUCCAUCAACAUCAAUUUUUCUUUUUCAUCCAUCAACUUCACGAGAAUACACACCCAGAUACACUCCUCUCACCACAAAUCUGCACAGACACAUAAUACAUAUACACAUACUCUCUCAAUUUCCAUGGAAGAGGAAGAGAGCAACACAAUACCACAAUACAUACAGACGCACAAAUAUAGAUAUAUACACACAGAACAAAGAGAAGAAAGGAGUAAUCUGACUCAUUCAUUUUAUAUACACACACAGAAUUCAUUCACUCACACAGUCAUAGGAGAAUACACACACACACACCAAAAAUUAGAGAAAAAUAAUCAAGAACAGUGGUAGAUAAAUAUUUCAGUCUGAUUUUCCGGUGAAAUCUAGGCGGAAAAUGUCAUCUCACAAUCGUCCAUCAUUUCUUUCCAGUCUGAGUUCAUCGAUGAAGCUCACCGGAGCUCCACCAUCAUCAAAUCAAUCGAAAAACGUCAUUGACAGUGACCAACACCGCUAAAAAGUAAAACAGACGAAUUCCACCGAAAUUGGCUCCACCAGCAAGGGGUAGCGUCGUUGAUUUUAUCAACGCACCACUGACUACUCUUCAUCCUCUUCAUCAUAAAUACCACAAACUCACAAAUCCACUACCACUGUUAAAACCAUAUUUGUGGUCGUUAACUUCAUAGUACCUAUCAUCAAGGUCCAAGAGCAAUACAACCUUCAUCUUCGUCAAAUUCAGAAUUCUCACCAUCAUCGUUAAUACAAUUCACCCUCGCUGACAAUUCCACAAUACCUAACACCAACACCAACGAGAAUUAAAGAAAACUAAAGAACAAUAACAGGAGAUGAGAUGCAGGUGGUGUGUGAAGAGGCUUAACAGUGCCGCCAUCGAUUCCAUUAAAUUCGCAGCAAAUCGUUCAAUUUUCUCAUGGAUUAAAUUUCAAUUUCUUCAUGAAUUGAGUUUUAGUUUCUCCAUGAAUUGAAUUUUCAUUUUCUCAUGGAUCGAAUUUCUUCCUCGGAGUCUUAAGGUGUAACAAUUACAUUCACCUCCAUAGACACCUCCGACAAGCAAUUUAUCCUAUCACCUAUGCCAAGAAAAUUCGAUGGAACAGAAGGUGUGGGGGUGGGGGUGGCGGAACAAUGAAGGAUGAUGUACAGUGGUAGGUGAAGAAAUAGAUUGUGAUAGAAGAAAAAGGAUGGAGAGAGAAAAAUAUAAAAAUUAAUGAAUAAAUUGGCAUUAGUUUAUUUUUAUUAAUUUUUUUGUUCCUCCACGCCUCCUUUGGAGAGUGAAAACACUCUCCUUAUUAGAGGUGGUGUUAAAUUCACUUGAAACAAAUUAAAGGAAUAAAUAAUUAUAUAUAAAGUUAAAAUUUUAAAAUAAAUUGAAGUGACAAGUUUAGGGGGUGAUACAUUUUCUCUAUAAAUAAUAACAUAGUGUAGAAAUAAUUUGCACUUGUAUUACUUAUUAUAUUCACACACUUUAAUUCCAUUCACCCUAUUAUAUAAAUUGUUAUCAAUUUAUAUCACUUGUAUUCAUUCAGUCUAUUAUUUGUAUUAACACGUGCGAUCUUGAUGUAUACACUCAUAAAGGUUGUAUGCGUUCACUUAAUUUCGCUUGGUACACUCAAAGCGAAAUAUAAAAAUAUAAGGAAAAAGAAGGGGUUUUGCAAGGAUAAAAACAACAAAAAUAUAUUGUAUAAAUCAAAGUAAAAUAUAAAAAUACAUUGGUUAUUGAAAAAUUCCUUCUAUUCACUCUGUUCGUCCCAUUUUAGUUGUCUACCUUACUACUAAAAAUUGUU